Molecule: long non-coding RNA, 1826 nt
Filed under: Capra hircus (goat)
Lineage: Eukaryota; Metazoa; Chordata; Mammalia; Artiodactyla; Bovidae
Description: lncRNA (ENSCHIG00000005598.1)
Source: RNAcentral
AUGACAAGCCUUCCGCCUGGCGCACAGGGCCCAAGAUGGGAAAUGAGAAGUGCUGCUGAGGGCGUGGGCUCUUUAAAUCCCCCCUGGAGGGCUGUUUUUGGCUCACCUGGGCCCUGGGUUUUCCAUGGUGAGCUGGGAGGCUCUGUAACCUCUGCUCCUGCCCUUGAGGGCUUUGACCCCAUUCAGGCCACGCAGAGGGAAGGGGGCAGCACACAAGACGAGGUGGGGGCCGACCUCCCGCCUGCCAGCCCUGAAGUCCCUGCCCUCCCCAGGUCCCAGGGCGACAGCAGUAACAGUGGAAGGUCUCACUUUAGGACCCACCUCUUGGCGUCUCUGCGCAGAACGUCAAGAUGGUGCAACCUUGAAGAUGCUUACAGGAUGGGCUGGCCUGGAAAGGCCUCUGCAGUUGGCAUAGCUACAGUCUGGAACAUCAGUGACAUUCAGGCAGACUUCCUGGAGGAGAACUUUGUCCAGGGGUCGGCAGUCCAGGCCCAGCUGAAGGACAGCAUGUUCCAGCCAUCCUCGAACCGGAACAGUCAGGUAAGUUGUGUGGGGAAUUGAGUGGAAGAAGUUGUUAAAAGGGAUUUCGUUGUUGUUGUUGUUUUCUUAUAGCUUCACUGACAUACAGUUGACUUGCAAUAAUCUGCUCCCAUUUAAACCGCACAGUUUGGAAAGUUUCAACGUGUAUGUCGGGAAGGCAUCACCGCAAUCAAGACAGUGGACAUUUCCAUCAGCUGCGAGCAUUUCCUCUUGCCUCUUUGUAAGCCAUCCAUCACUUCACCCCUGUCCUCAUGCAACCCCUGAUCUGCUCUGUACCGUUAUGGAUUAGCUUGCACUUUCUGGAGUUUUAUAUAAGUAGAAUCCUACAGUACGUAUUCUCUUUCUUUCCCUUUUUUUUUUUGGCUGGGGGAAUUCUGGCUCCUUCCACUUAGCAUAAUGAUUCUGAGAUUCAUCCAUGCUGUUGGGUAUAUCCAUAGUUCGUUUCUUUUUAUUGUUGAUUUGUAUUCCACCGUUUGAAUAUGCUAUCAUUUGUUUAUCCAUUUCCCAAUUAAUGGACAUUUGGGUUUUUCCACAUUUUGGCUAUGAAAGCAAAGCUGCUAAGAAUAUUCGGGUCCAAGUUUUUGUGUGGACAUAUUGCUUUAAUUUCUCUUGGGCAAAUACCUCGGAGUAGAAUGGCUUGAUCAUAUGGUAGGUGUAUCUCUAAUUUGUUAAGAAGCUGCCAAACUGUUUUCAAAGUGGCUGCACGAUUUUAAAUCCCCAGCAGCCGAAUAUGAAAGAUCCAGCUGCUCCACAUUCCUGCUAGCGUUGGGUAAGGCCAGUCUUUUAAAUUGUAGGCAUUCAUAAUGGCUGUGUGUUGGUAUCUCACUGUGCUUUAAAAAAAAAUUUUUUUUUUUGUUGGAGUAUCAUUGCUUUACAAUGUUAUGUUGGUUUCUGCUGUACAGCAAAGGGAAUCAGCUAUCAGUUCAGUUCAGUUGUUCAGUCAUGUCCGAGUCUUUGCGACCCCAUGGACUGCAGCACGCCAGGCCUCCCUGACAAUCACCAACCCCCAGAGCCUGCUCACAGUCAUGGCCAUCGAGUCGGUGAUGCCAUCCAACCGUCUCAUCUUUUGUCAUCCCUUUCUCCUCCUGCCUUCAAUCUUUCCCAGCAUCAGGGUCUUUUCCAUUGAAUCAGCUCUUCACAUCAGGUGGCCAAAGUAUUGGAGCUUCAGCUUCAACAUCAGUCCUUCCAAUGAAUAUUCAGGACUGAUUUCCUUCGGGAUGACUGGUGUGAUCUCCUUGCAGUCCAAAGAACUCUCAAGAGUCUUCUCCAACACCACAGUUUAAAAG